GUUUUAAUAGUUUAAAAAAAACAUUGGUCUUGUAAGCCAAAAAUAAAUAAAAUUUUAAAACU
This 62-nucleotide transfer RNA is filed under the name Dinoderus minutus. RNAcentral describes it as "tRNA-Thr". It matches the Rfam family "tRNA". From Rfam's summary of the family: Transfer RNA (tRNA) molecules are approximately 80 nucleotides in length. Their secondary structure includes four short double-helical elements and three loops (D, anti-codon, and T loops). Further hydrogen bonds mediate the characteristic L-shaped molecular structure. tRNAs have two regions of fundamental functional importance: the anti-codon, which is responsible for specific mRNA codon recognition, and the 3' end, to which the tRNAs corresponding amino acid is attached (by aminoacyl-tRNA synthetases). tRNAs cope with the degeneracy of the genetic code in two manners: having more than one tRNA (with a specific anti-codon) for a particular amino acid; and 'wobble' base-pairing, i.e. permitting non-standard base-pairing at the 3rd anti-codon position. Lineage: Eukaryota; Metazoa; Arthropoda; Insecta; Coleoptera; Bostrichidae. The record is from RNAcentral.